GCAAAUUCCAUUAGGCAGAUUUUCUAUAAUCGAUCGGUAUGUUUGUCAUUUCAACAAAAAGGUGCAAUACAUAGACAAGAGUUUCUAUGGAAAGUGGUUCGUAAUAUAAUUAUUACCGGAUGUGCUUCACUCAAGAAAGGAUGUAGUGUAGGUGUGACGUGUGCUUGUUGUGAAUUCAAUGCUGUGUGUGUUGAUCGUGUAUUUCAAAGCUGUAAUUUUCCUAGAAGAAAUAGAUUUGAGUUUGAUAAU
RNAcentral lists this unclassified non-coding RNA (249 nucleotides) under Hevea brasiliensis (rubber tree). Lineage: Eukaryota; Viridiplantae; Streptophyta; Magnoliopsida; Malpighiales; Euphorbiaceae. The record is from RNAcentral.